This 253-nucleotide ribosomal RNA is filed under the name uncultured bacterium. RNAcentral describes it as "partial 16S ribosomal RNA". It matches the Rfam family "Bacterial small subunit ribosomal RNA", at positions 524 to 776 of the family's 1533-position model. The record is from RNAcentral.
UACGUAGGGUGCGAGCGUUGUCCGGAAUUAUUGGGCGUAAAGGGCUCGUAGGCGGUUUGUCACGUCGGGAGUGAAAACUCGGGGCUCAACCCCGAGCCUGCUUCCGAUACGGGCAGACUAGAGGUAUGCAGGGGAGAAUGGAAUUCCUGGUGUAGCGGUGAAAUGCGCAGAUAUCAGGAGGAACACCGGUGGCGAAGGCGGUGGUCUGGGCCGGAACUGACGCUGAGGAGCGAAAGCGUGGGGAGCGAACAGG